Molecule: unclassified non-coding RNA, 686 nt
Filed under: synthetic construct
Source: RNAcentral
GAUCAAUAACAGGUGUUUGUGGAGCAUUUUCUGAAUNCAAUAAACCCAAAACAGAAACNCNUUGUAUCACUNUCUGGAAAAGGGGUGGGCGGUAAUAAAGCUAAUAGGGUGUGUCCAUAAGUAAUACUGAACUUGGAAAUGUGCGGCUUUGCAGCAUUUUGUCUUUCUAUAAAAAUGUGUCGUUCCUUUUUUUCAUUUUUUGGCGCGUCGCCUCGGGGUCGUAUAGAAUAUGCGUCACUUUUAAAAAUAAGAUUGCAGAUCAGGGCAAAACAAGUAGCAAAUCAUAGCAAGAGACCCUGAUUUUUGUGACAUAAAUAUUUUUACUUCUGUGUUAGGUUAACUUUUUAUGUAACUGUAAAUGGAAUAGAGUUGAGGGGAUAGUGCCCACAAGUCAAUAUGUUUAUUUUGUAAAGUUGAAAGAUAAUUAUUUUUAUGCUCAGGUGAUUUUGGUGUUGAAUUUUCUGUAAUAUUAACAUAAGAGUAAUACAUUGAGUGGUUAGUAUAUGGUGUAAAAGUGGUAUAACGCAUGUAUUAAGAGCAGUUAUACAAUAUUUGGGGCCGCUGAAUGAGAUAUAGAUAUUAAAAUGUGGAUAAUCAUGGGCUUUAUGGGUAAAUGGAACAGGGUAUAGACCACUGAGGCAAGUGCCGUGCAUAAUGAUAUGAGUGCAUCUAGUGGCGAACGUGGC